This 255-nucleotide ribosomal RNA is filed under the name uncultured bacterium. Its description in RNAcentral is "partial 16S ribosomal RNA". It matches the Rfam family "Bacterial small subunit ribosomal RNA", at positions 524 to 776 of the family's 1533-position model. The record is from RNAcentral.
UACGAAGGGGGGCUAGCGUUGCUCGGAAUCACUGGGCGUAAAGGGUGCGUAGGCGGGUCUUUAAGUCAGGGGUGAAAUCCUGGAGCUCAACUCCAGAACUGCCUUUGAUACUGAAGAGCUUGAGUCCGGGAGAGGUGAGUGGAACUGCGAGUGUAGAGGUGAAAUUCGUAGAUAUUCGCAAGAACACCAGUGGCGAAGGCGGCUCACUGGCCCGGUACUGACGCUGAGGUGGCGAAAGCGUGGGGAGCAAACAGG